UACGUAGGGUGCGAGCGUUGUCCGGAAUUACUGGGCGUAAAGAGCUCGUAGGUGGUUUGUCGCGUUGUUCGUGAAAUUCCCUGGCUUAACUGGGGGCGUGCGGGCGAUACGGGCAGACUGGAGUACUGCAGGGGAGACUGGAAUUCCUGGUGUAGCGGUGGAAUGCGCAGAUAUCAGGAGGAACACCGGUGGCGAAGGCGGGUUUCUGGGCAGUAACUGACGCUGAGGAGCGAAAGCGUGGGGAGCGAACAGG
This 253-nucleotide ribosomal RNA is filed under the name uncultured bacterium. Its description in RNAcentral is "partial 16S ribosomal RNA". It matches the Rfam family "Bacterial small subunit ribosomal RNA", at positions 524 to 776 of the family's 1533-position model. The record is from RNAcentral.